This 472-nucleotide ribosomal RNA is filed under the name uncultured bacterium. RNAcentral describes it as "bacterial SSU rRNA". It matches the Rfam family "Bacterial small subunit ribosomal RNA", at positions 355 to 825 of the family's 1533-position model. The record is from RNAcentral.
UGGGGAAUAUUGGACAAUGGGCGCAAGCCUGAUCCAGCCAUACCGCGUGGGUGAAGAAGGCCUUCGGGUUGUAAAGCCCUUUUGUUGGGAAAGAAAUCCAGCUGGCUAAUACCCGGUUGGGAUGACGGUACCCAAAGAAUAAGCACCGGCUAACUUCGUGCCAGCAGCCGCGGUAAUACGAAGGGUGCAAGCGUUACUCGGAAUUACUGGGCGUAAAGCGUGCGUAGGUGGUCGUUUAAGUCCGUUGUGAAAGCCCUGGGCUCAACCUGGGAACUGCAGUGGAUACUGGACGACUAGAGUGUGGUAGAGGGUAGCGGAAUUCCUGGUGUAGCAGUGAAAUGCGUAGAGAUCAGGAGGAACAUCCAUGGCGAAGGCAGCUACCUGGACCAACACUGACACUGAGGCACGAAAGCGUGGGGAGCAAACAGGAUUAGAUACCCUAGUAGUCCCUGAGCGGGCUGGCAAGGCGCAU